RNAcentral lists this ribosomal RNA (466 nucleotides) under uncultured bacterium. Its description in RNAcentral is "partial 16S ribosomal RNA". It matches the Rfam family "Bacterial small subunit ribosomal RNA", at positions 28 to 507 of the family's 1533-position model. The record is from RNAcentral.
GACGAACGCUGGCGGCGCGCCUAACACAUGCAAGUCGAACGAGCGAGAGAGAGCUUGCUUUCUCGAGCGAGUGGCGAACGGGUGAGUAACGCGUGAGGAACCUGCCUCAAAGAGGAGGACAACAGUUGGAAACGACUGCUAAUACCGCAUAAGCCCACGGCUCGGCAUCGAGCAGGGGGAAAAGGAGCAAUCCGCUUUGAGAUGGCCUCGCGUCCGAUUAGCUAGUUGGUGGGGUAACGGCCCACCAAGGCGACGAUCGGUAGCCGGACUGAGAGGUUGAACGGCCACAUUGGGACUGAGACACGGCCCAGACUCCUACGGGAGGCAGCAGUGGGGAAUAUUGCACAAUGGGGGAAACCCUGAUGCAGCGACGCCGCGUGGAGGAAGAAGGUCUUCGGAUUGUAAACUCCUGUUGUUGGGGAAGAUAAUGACGGUACCCAACAAGGAAGUGACGGCUAACUACGUG